AGUGAACGCUGGCGGCGUGGGUGAGACAUGCAAGUCGCACGAGCAAGCUCUGCCGAAAGGUGGAACUCGCUAGUGGCGAAAGGGAGAGUACAAAGCAGGUAACGUGCCCCGGACACCGGGAUAGUCCGCCGAAAGGCGGGGUAAUAUCGGAGAUGCUCCGCGUCGGAUGGCGCGGUGUCAAAGGGCGGGGACCUUCGGGCCCGCCGGUCUGGGAGCGGCCGCCCGAUCAGCUAGUUGGUGAGGUGAUGGCUCACCAAGGCGAUGACGCGUAGCCGGCCUGAGAGGGUGUUCGGCCUCACUGGGACUGAGACACUGCCCAGAGCCCUACGGGGUGCAGCAGUCUCGAAUCAUCCGCAAUGCGCGAAAGCGUGACGGUGUGACGCCGCGUGCGGGAGGAAGCCCUUCGGGGUGUAAACCGCUUUUUGGAGGUAUGAAGCGUCUCGGCGGAUAAUGCCGGCGACGUUGACGUCAACUUCAGAAUAAGCCCCGGCUAACUUCGUGCCAGCAGCCGCGGUAAGACGAAGGGGGCAAGCGUUGCUCGGAAUCACUGGGCUUAAAGAGGACGUAGGCGGUCCGGCCAGUCGGAUGUGAAAUCCCUUGGCUCAACUGAGGAAUGGCAUUCGAUACUGCCGGACUUGAGGUGCUCAGAGGCGAGUGGAACUCUCGGUGGAGCGGUGAAAUGCGUAGAUGUCGAGAGGAACGCCAAUGGUGAAGACAGCUCGCUGGGGGCAUCCUGACGCUGAGGUCCGAAAGCUAGGGGAGCAAACGGGAUUAGAUACCCCGGUAGUCCUAGCCCUAAACGAUGCGCACUAGGUGGAGGAGGCUCUGACGGUCAUCUCCGCCGCAGCGAAAGCGUUAAGUGCGCCGCCUGGGGAGACGGUCGCAAGGCU
Molecule: ribosomal RNA, 890 nt
Filed under: uncultured Planctomycetota bacterium
Lineage: Bacteria; Pseudomonadati; Planctomycetota
Description: bacterial SSU rRNA
Rfam family: Bacterial small subunit ribosomal RNA
Source: RNAcentral